GACGAACGCUGGCGGCGUGCUAAUACAUGCAAGUCGAGCGAGCUUGCCUAGAUGAAUUUGGUGCUUGCACCAAAUGAAACUAGAUACAAGCGAGCGGCGGACGGGUGAGUAACACGUGGGUAACCUGCCCAAGAGACUGGGAUAACACCUGGAAACAGAUGCUAAUACCGGAUAACAACACUAGACGCAUGUCUAGAGUUUAAAAGAUGGUUCUGCUAUCACUCUUGGAUGGACCUGCGGUGCAUUAGCUUGUUGGUGGGGUAACGGCCUACCAAGGCGAUGAUGCAUAGCCGAGUUGAGAGACUGAUCGGCCACAAUGGGACUGAGACACGGCCCAUACUCCUACGGGAGGCAGCAGUAGGGAAUCUUCCACAAUGGGCGCAAGCCUGAUGGAGCAACACCGCGUGAGUGAAGAAGGGUUUCGGCUCGUAAAGCUCUGUUGUUAAAGAAGAACACGUAUGAGAGUAACUGUUCAUACGUUGACGGUAUUUAACCAGAAAGUCACGGCUAACUACGUGCCAGCAGCCGCGGUAAUACGUAGGUGGCAAGCGUUAUCCGGAUUUAUUGGGCGUAAAGAGAGUGCAGGCGGUUUUCUAAGUCUGAUGUGAAAGCCUUCGGCUUAACCGGAGAAGUGCAUCGGAAACUGGAUAACUUGAGUGCAGAAGAGGGUAGUGGAACUCCAUGUGUAGCGGUGGAAUGCGUAGAUAUAUGGAAGAACACCAGUGGCGAAGGCGGCUACCUGGUCUGCAACUGACGCUGAGACUCGAAAGCAUGGGUAGCGAACAGG
This 787-nucleotide ribosomal RNA is filed under the name uncultured Lactobacillus sp. RNAcentral describes it as "bacterial SSU rRNA". It matches the Rfam family "Bacterial small subunit ribosomal RNA", at positions 28 to 776 of the family's 1533-position model. Lineage: Bacteria; Bacillati; Bacillota; Bacilli; Lactobacillales; Lactobacillaceae. The record is from RNAcentral.